Molecule: regulatory RNA element, 67 nt
Organism: Lachnospiraceae bacterium 9_1_43BFAA
Lineage: Bacteria; Bacillati; Bacillota; Clostridia; Lachnospirales; Lachnospiraceae
Rfam family: S4-Clostridia ribosomal protein leader
Source: Rfam
GAAAGGUUACAGGAAACUGUGGCUGGACGCAGCGAAGAAGGAUGAAGAUCCCGGCGUCCCAAUUUGA